GGAAGGUAUAGCAAUUGCUAAUUGUAUUAACAAAUAGUUUUUACAAUAUCGAUUUAAUCGACUAAAAUUCUAGGUAGAUUUAUGAUGAUGACAUUAUCUAUCUAUGUGUCUUGACCAAAUUACGUGCCAGCUGUCGCGGUAAGACGUAGAAGACUAGUGUUAUUCAUCUUUAAUUGGUUUAAAGCGUACCUAGACGGUAAUUAAAGCCUACAUCAGGUACUUGUUUACUAGAGUUAUAUGUAAGGGUGUAUUAAAGUACUGUUGAGUGUAGAGAUGAAAUUCGUUGAUACCAAAUAAUUGGCACAGGUAUAGGCGAAAGCAUCACUUUAUGUAAUAACUGACGUUGACGGACGAAGGCUUUGUGUCGCGAACAGGAUUAGAUACCCCAGUAGUCUUAGCAGAAAAUUAUGAGUGUCAUAGGUUAGAUUUUAUCUGGUCUAUAAAUGAAAGUGUAAGCACUCCACCUCAAGAGUAAUUUGGCAACAUUGGAACUGAAAUCAUUAGACCGUUUCUGAAACCAGUAGUGAAGUAUGUUGUUUAAUUUGAUGAUCCGCAAAGAACCUUACCACAAUUUGAAUAUAAAUGAUUUAUUUUUACAAGCGUUGCACGGCUGUCUUCAGUUAAUGUCGUGAGAUAUUGGUUUAUUCCAUUAAAUUAACGUAAACCCGUACUUUAUUUUUAUAUAAAGUUGUUCAUUCGCUAUAAUGGAUGUAAUAAGAGGGACUAAGACAAGUCAUCAUGGC
Molecule: ribosomal RNA, 743 nt
Filed under: Fuscopannaria pacifica
Lineage: Eukaryota; Fungi; Ascomycota; Lecanoromycetes; Peltigerales; Pannariaceae
Description: SSU rRNA
Rfam family: Bacterial small subunit ribosomal RNA
Source: RNAcentral